GACGAACGCUGGCGGCGUGCCUAAUACAUGCAAGUAGAACGCUGAAGAGAGGAGCUUGCUCUUCUUGGUUGAGUUGCGGACGGGUGAGUAACGCGUAGGUAACCUGACUGGUAGCGGGGGAUAACAAUUGGAAACGAUAGCUAAUACCGCAUAAAAUGGAUUAUCGCAUGAUAAUCCAUUGAAAGGUGCAAAUGCAUCACUACCAGACGGACCUGCGUUGUAUUAGCUAGUUGGUGGGGUAGCGGCUAACCAAAGCGACGUUCCAUAGCCGACCUGAGAGGGUGAUCGGCCACGCUGGGACUGAGAGACGACCCACACCCCUGCGAGUGGCACCCGUAGCGGAUCCUCGCGAAUGGACGGAAGUCUGAACAUUGGACGCCGCGUGAGUGCCGAAUCCUUUCGGGUCGUGAAGGUCUUUUAUGAGUUAAGAUCGUGUAGGACUGUUGCACGGGCACAUUGUGACGGUACCUGACGAAUAAGCGACGGCUAACUCCGUG
Molecule: ribosomal RNA, 497 nt
Filed under: uncultured bacterium
Lineage: Bacteria
Description: partial 16S ribosomal RNA
Rfam family: Bacterial small subunit ribosomal RNA
Source: RNAcentral